RNAcentral lists this signal recognition particle RNA (300 nucleotides) under Dasypus novemcinctus (nine-banded armadillo). RNAcentral's name for it is "Metazoan signal recognition particle RNA (ENSDNOG00000034452.1)". It matches the Rfam family "Metazoan signal recognition particle RNA". Rfam says of the family: The signal recognition particle (SRP) is a universally conserved ribonucleoprotein. It is involved in the co-translational targeting of proteins to membranes. Lineage: Eukaryota; Metazoa; Chordata; Mammalia; Cingulata; Dasypodidae. The record is from RNAcentral.
GCCGGGCGCGGUGGCGCGCGCCUGUAGUCCCAGCUACUCGGGAGGCUGAGGCAGGAGGAUCGCUUGAGCCCAGGAGUUCUGGGCUGCAGUGCGCUAUGCCGAUCGGGUGUCCGCACUAAGUUCGGCAUCAAUAUGGUGACCUCCCGGGAGCGGGGGACCACCAGGUUGCCUAAGGAGGGGUGAACCGGCCCAGGUCGGAAACGGAGCAGGUCAAAACUCCCGUGCUGAUCAGUAGUGGGAUCGCGCCUGUGAAUAGCCACUGUACUCCAGCCUGGGCAACAUAGCGAGACCCCGUCUCUU